This 250-nucleotide ribosomal RNA is filed under the name uncultured prokaryote. Its description in RNAcentral is "partial 16S ribosomal RNA". It matches the Rfam family "Bacterial small subunit ribosomal RNA", at positions 524 to 773 of the family's 1533-position model. The record is from RNAcentral.
UACGUAGGUGGCGAGCGUUAUCCGGAUUUACUGGGUGUAAAGGGCGUGUAGGCGGCUCUGCAAGUCAGAAGUGAAAUUCCCGGGCUCAACCCAGGCGCUGCUUCUGAGACUGCAGAACUUGAGUACUGGAGGGGAUAGCGGAAUUCCUAGUGUAGCGGUAAAAUGCGCAGAUAUAGGGAGGAACACCGGUGGCGAAGGCGGCUAUCUGGACAGUAACUGACGCUGAGGCGCGAAAGCGUGGGGAGCAAAC